This 253-nucleotide ribosomal RNA is filed under the name uncultured bacterium. RNAcentral describes it as "partial 16S ribosomal RNA". It matches the Rfam family "Bacterial small subunit ribosomal RNA", at positions 524 to 776 of the family's 1533-position model. The record is from RNAcentral.
UACGUAGGGGGCAAGCGUUGUCCGGAUUUAUUGGGCGUAAAGAGCGUGUAGGCGGCCAGACAGGUCCGUUGUGAAAACUCGAGGCUCAACCUCGAGAUGUCGAUGGAAACCGUCUGGCUAGAGUCCGGAAGAGGAGUGUGGAAUUCCUGGUGUAGCGGUGAAAUGCGCAGAUAUCAGGAGGAACACCGGUGGCGAAGGCGGAUCUCUGGGCCAUUACUGACGCUGAGGAGCGAAAGCGUGGGGAGCGAACAGG